AUUGAACGCUGGCGGCAGGCCUAACACAUGCAAGUCGAACGGUAACAGGAAACAGCUUGCUGUUUCGCUGACGAGUGGCGGACGGGUGAGUAAUGUCUGGGAAACUGCCUGAUGGAGGGGGAUAACUACUGGAAACGGUAGCUAAUACCGCAUAACGUCUCAAGACCAUAGAGGGGGACCCUCGGGCCUCUUGCCAUCGGAUGUGCCCAGAUGGGAUUAGCUUGUUGGUGGGGUAACGGCUCACCAAGGCGACGAUCCCUAGCUGGUCUGAGAGGAUGACCAGCCACACUGGAACUGAGACACGGUCCAGACUCCUACGGGAGGCAGCAGUGGGGAAUAUUGCACAAUGGGCGCAAGCAUGAUGCAGCAAUGCCGCGUGUAUGAAGAAGGCCUUCGGGUUGUAAAGUACUUUCAGCGGGGAGGAAGGGAGUAAAGUUAAUACCUUUGCUCAUUGACGUUACCCGCAGAAGAAGCACCGGCUAACUCCGUG
RNAcentral lists this ribosomal RNA (490 nucleotides) under uncultured bacterium. RNAcentral's name for it is "partial 16S ribosomal RNA". It matches the Rfam family "Bacterial small subunit ribosomal RNA", at positions 30 to 507 of the family's 1533-position model. The record is from RNAcentral.